RNAcentral lists this ribosomal RNA (468 nucleotides) under uncultured bacterium. RNAcentral's name for it is "partial 16S ribosomal RNA". It matches the Rfam family "Bacterial small subunit ribosomal RNA", at positions 355 to 813 of the family's 1533-position model. The record is from RNAcentral.
UGGGGAAUUUUGGACAAUGGGCGAAAGCCUGAUCCAGCAAUGCCGCGUGUGUGAAGAAGGCCUUCGGGUUGUAAAGCACUUUUGUCCGGAAAGAAAUCCUUGGCUCUAAUACAGUCGGGGGGAUGACGGUACCGGAAGAAUAAGCACCGGCUAACUACGUGCCAGCAGCCGCGGUAAUACGUAGGGUGCAAGCGUUAAUCGGAAUUACUGGGCGUAAAGCGUGCGCAGGCGGUUUGCUAAGACCGAUGUGAAAUCCCCGGGCUCAACCUGGGAACUGCAUUGGUGACUGGCAGGCUAGAGUAUGGCAGAGGGGGGUAGAAUUCCACGUGUGAGCAGUGAAAUGCGUAGAGAUGUGGAGGAAUACCGAUGGCGAAGGCAGCCCCCUGGGCCAAUACUGACGCUCAUGCACGAAAGCGUGGGGAGCAAACAGGAUUAGAUACCCUGGUAGUCCACGCCCUAAACGAUGUC